GACGAACGCUGGCGGCGUGCUUAACACAUGCAAGUCGAACGGUGAAGCGCUUGCCUUUUUGGUGGGUGUGGAUGAGUGGCGAACGGGUGAGUAACACGUGAGUAACCUGCCCUCUUCUUCUGGAUAACCUCAUGAAAGUGGGGCUAAUACGGGGUAUUCCGGGUCUGUCGCAUGGCGGGUUUGGGAAAGAUUGCGCCUUUGGGUGUUUUCGGUGGGGGAUGGGCUCGCGGCCUAUCAGCUUGUUGGUGGGGUGAUGGCCUACCAAGGCGGUGACGGGUAGCCGGCCUGAGAGGGUGGACGGCCACACUGGGACGGAGACACGGCCCAGACUCCUGCGGGAGGCAGCAGUGGGGAAUAUUGCACAAUGGGCGCAAGCCUGAUGCAGCGACGCCGCGUGAGGGAUGGAGGCCUUCGGGUUGUGAACCUCUUUCGCCAGUGAAGCAGGCCUGCUCCUGUGUGGGUGGGUUGACGGUAGCUGGAUAAGAAGCGCCGGCUAACUACGUG
Molecule: ribosomal RNA, 504 nt
Filed under: uncultured bacterium
Lineage: Bacteria
Description: partial 16S ribosomal RNA
Rfam family: Bacterial small subunit ribosomal RNA
Source: RNAcentral